This 253-nucleotide ribosomal RNA is filed under the name uncultured bacterium. Its description in RNAcentral is "partial 16S ribosomal RNA". It matches the Rfam family "Bacterial small subunit ribosomal RNA", at positions 524 to 776 of the family's 1533-position model. The record is from RNAcentral.
GACGGAGGAUGCAAGCGUUAUCCGGAAUGAUUGGGCGUAAAGCGUCCGCAGGUGGCAGUUCAAGUCUGCUGUCAAAGACCGGGGCUCAACCUCGGAAAGGCAGUGGAAACUGAACAGCUGGAGUAUGGUAGGGGCAAAGGGAAUUCCUGGUGUAGCGGUGAAAUGCGUAGAGAUCAGGAAGAACACCAGUGGCGAAGGCGGCCAUCUGGGACAACACUGACGCUGAGGCACGAAAGCGUGGGGAGCAAACAGG